This 398-nucleotide ribosomal RNA is filed under the name uncultured Chlamydomonadales. Its description in RNAcentral is "partial small subunit ribosomal RNA". It matches the Rfam family "Eukaryotic small subunit ribosomal RNA", at positions 30 to 432 of the family's 1831-position model. The record is from RNAcentral. Lineage: Eukaryota; Viridiplantae; Chlorophyta; Chlorophyceae; Chlamydomonadales.
GCUUGUCUCAAAGAUUAAGCCAUGCAUGUCUAAGUAUAAACUGCUUAUACUGUGAAACUGCGAAUGGCUCAUUAAAUCAGUUAUAGUUUAUUUGAUGGUACCUCUACUCGGAUAACCGUAGUAAUUCUAGAGCUAAUACGUGCGUAAAUCCCGACUUCUGGAAGGGACGUAUUUAUUAGAUAAAAGGCCAGCCGUCUCACGACGACCUGCGUUGACUCAUGAUAACUUCACGAAUCGCAUGGGCUUGCCCCGGCGAUGUUUCAUUCAAAUUUCUGCCCUAUCAACUUUCGAUGUUUGGGUAUUGGCCAAACAUGGUUGCAACGGGUAACGGAGGGUUAGGGCUCGACCCCGGAGAAGGAGCCUGAGAAACGGCUACUACAUCCAAGGAAGGCAGCAGG